AGCGAACAGACGAGGAGCUUGCUCCUCUGACGUUAGCGGCGGACGGGUGAGUAACACGUGGAUAACCUACCUAUAAGACUGGGAUAACUUCGGGAAACCGGAGCUAAUACCGGAUAAUAUAUUGAACCGCAUGGUUCAAUAGUGAAAGACGGUUUUGCUGUCACUUAUAGAUGGAUCCGCGCCGCAUUAGCUAGUUGGUAAGGUAACGGCUUACCAAGGCAACGAUGCGUAGCCGACCUGAGAGGGUGAUCGGCCACACUGGAACUGAGACACGGUCCAGACUCCUACGGGAGGCAGCAGUAGGGAAUCUUCCGCAAUGGGCGAAAGCCUGACGGAGCAACGCCGCGUGAGUGAUGAAGGUCUUCGGAUCGUAAAACUCUGUUAUUAGGGAAGAACAAAUGUGUAAGUAACUAUGCACGUCUUGACGGUACCUAAUCAGAAAGCCACGGCUAACUACGUGCCAGCAGCCGCGGUAAUACGUAGGUGGCAAGCGUUAUCCGGAAUUAUUGGGCGUAAAGCGCGCGUAGGCGGUUUUUUAAGUCUGAUGUGAAAGCCCACGGCUCAACCGUGGAGGGUCAUUGGAAACUGGAAAACUUGAGUGCAGAAGAGGAAAGUGGAAUUCCAUGUGUAGCGGUGAAAUGCGCAGAGAUAUGGAGGAACACCAGUGGCGAAGGCGAC
This 678-nucleotide ribosomal RNA is filed under the name uncultured Staphylococcus sp. RNAcentral describes it as "bacterial SSU rRNA". It matches the Rfam family "Bacterial small subunit ribosomal RNA", at positions 65 to 725 of the family's 1533-position model. Lineage: Bacteria; Bacillati; Bacillota; Bacilli; Caryophanales; Staphylococcaceae. The record is from RNAcentral.